AGAGUUUGAUCCUGGCUCAGAGUGAACGUUGGCGGCGUGCCUAACACAUGCAAGUCGAACGCGUUUCGGGGGCAACCCCGAGAUGAGUGGCGAACGGGUGAGUAACACGUGGGUAAUCUCCCCCCGAGUGAGGAAUAAGCCCCCGAAAGGGGGUCUAAUACCGCAUGACACCCAGGGUGCAUAAGUGUCCUGGGUCAAAGCCGUAAGGCGCUUGAGGAUGAGCCCGCGUCCUAUUAGCUAGUUGGUAGGGUAACGGCCUACCAAGGUUAUGAUGGGUAGCCGGCCUGAGAGGGUGAUCGGCCACACUGGGACUGAGACACGGCCCAGACUCCUACGGGAGGCAGCAGUGAGGAAUUUUGCGCAAUGGGGGAAACCCUGACGCAGCGACGCCGCGUGGAGGAUGACGGCCUUCGGGUUGUAAACUCCUGUCAGAGGUGAAGAAUCCCCGCAAGGGGUUGACGGUAACCUCAAAGGAAGCCCCGGCUAACUACGUGCCAGCAGCCGCGGUAAUACGUAGGGGGCAAACGUUACUCGGAAUUACUGGGCGUAAGGGGUGUGUAGGCGGCUGAGUAAGUCAAAGAUGAAAUCCCAUGGCUCAACUGUGGAAUUGUCUUUGAAACUGCUCGGCUUGAGGAUAGUCGAGGAGAAUGGAAUUCCCGGUGGAGCGGUGAAAUGCGUAGAUAUCGGGAGGAACACCCGAGGCGUGAGCGAUUCUCUAUCCUAUUCCUGACGCUGAAACACGAAAGCUAGGGGAGCGAACGGGAUUAGAUACCCCGGUAGUCCUAGCUAUAAACGAUGGA
Molecule: ribosomal RNA, 800 nt
Filed under: uncultured bacterium
Lineage: Bacteria
Description: bacterial SSU rRNA
Rfam family: Bacterial small subunit ribosomal RNA
Source: RNAcentral